UACGUAGGGAGCAAGCGUUGUCCGGAAUCAUUGGGCGUAAAGCGCGUGUAGGCGGUUCGGUAAGUCCGCUGUGAAAGUCGGGGGCUCAACCCUCGGAUGCCGGUGGAUACUGUCGGACUAGAGUACGGAAGAGGCGAGUGGAAUUCCUGGUGUAGCGGUGAAAUGCGCAGAUAUCAGGAGGAACACCGAUUGCGAAGGCAGCUCGCUGGGACGUUACUGACGCUGAGACGCGAAAGCGUGGGGAGCAAACAGG
RNAcentral lists this ribosomal RNA (253 nucleotides) under uncultured bacterium. Its description in RNAcentral is "partial 16S ribosomal RNA". It matches the Rfam family "Bacterial small subunit ribosomal RNA", at positions 524 to 776 of the family's 1533-position model. The record is from RNAcentral.